Molecule: long non-coding RNA, 206 nt
Filed under: Homo sapiens (human)
Lineage: Eukaryota; Metazoa; Chordata; Mammalia; Primates; Hominidae
Description: HSALNT0002120
Source: RNAcentral
AAAAACUGAUGAAAAGAUAAGCUAGGAUAGAAUUUAAUUAAGUGGUUUGUUUUCCUCUAAAAUUGAAUCUCAGCUGAGAAAGAAAUUUGGAAAGGGACUGUUAGAUAUGUUCACUCACCUUUACUCCAUAAGAUUUUUUUAAUCACCUAAUUCGAUCAGGUGGAUCUACUUUCUUCACCUGUCUCACAUUUGCCCGUGAAUUCUCU